RNAcentral lists this long non-coding RNA (563 nucleotides) under Ornithorhynchus anatinus (platypus). Its description in RNAcentral is "lncRNA (ENSOANG00000042758.1)". The record is from RNAcentral. Lineage: Eukaryota; Metazoa; Chordata; Mammalia; Monotremata; Ornithorhynchidae.
ACAGUCACACAUACAGGCGGGAGAGAUCGUCACAUACGUGCCCCGAUUUGUUUCACUGCACUCCCACCCAGCAUACCUCUAACGCCUGUCUUCAUCAUGCGUUUCAGCUACACCGCUGUUGAGGAACGAGGUAACGUUCUUCUCGCAACCUGCGUCUGGCUGGAUACGGCACGACGUGAGGUGGGACGAAACAUUUGAUGAUGACAACGAUGAUCGUAAUAACGCAGACACGACGUUUGAUCCUCCCACCGAGGGCGGUAUUACCCGAUUACGUGAGCGGUAGUCCUUCUCGGCAGCUUCCUCAAAAUCGACAAGCUCUUACCCAUCGAGGGCACGGUCACGAUACAGAAGGUAUCAAAGAGUACCCCGUAGCGGUCCAACUCCAUCCGAACCCCUCCGCACCUUGGAAUUCCUCACGAAGCCGCCGAGGGCCUCGCGGGUUACUGCACUCCGGCCUAGAUGCUGGGGUCCCUGGUUGCGACCACCGUCUCGGGGAAUCUCUCGCUUUCGCUCCCUCGACCUCUCCAUCUGUAAAGAGCCUACGGGGGACCAGAUCUUGCUGA